AACUCCUUGUGCUUUCGAUUUUUUAAGAAGGGCUACAUAAAUCCGAAUUCUGGUGGGUUCCAUAGGCGUACGACACAACGUAUAUGUGUCUAAAUAAAUUAUUAUAUUUUUUAAGGGAUGUCAUUGGGGUGCGAUAUUCAAUUCUUCCUUCCUAUAGCCUUGGUGAUUUGUUGACUCUCCCUAGCAUACGCAGCAUGCAAAAUUGACCUGCGUCACAAAUCCAGUGCGCAUCGACACAAGUAUCGCCUGAUAUUGGGUGCAGAUGAGAUAGGUCAUUGUGGCAUGUUUACAGCCAGGGCAUGUCAACGGAUGGUUACUAGUUUAUCUCGACGCGGCAUGGGGUUCCAAUUUCUUAACAAGCUCGUCGGCCAUCAAGGAGGGAAGGUUGUUGUAGAAUAUUUUCGUGUAUUCUCAACCGCUGUCCGUUCUCUCUGAUCAAUCAUGUUAACUAUUGGACAUGAUGGCCUGUUUGAAGAAAACACCCUACAGCCUUGUUUUUGAUUUACAUCGCUGGCGAUGCGAACCCACCUGAAAUUUAACUCAUUCGGGGACGUCCUCAAUAAAGAUUUCCCCUUCUACAUCUGGAAGUCUGGCGAAAUAUACCAGGUGAACGAUACCACCCUUCCUGUCUUGCGCCAACCUAUCCGAUUUUAACAAUCCCUUUGUGCUCUAAACGUCGCAAAUCCGCUAUAUGAAUGCAUAACCAGAUUAACAACCUUUCCUUUAUCAGCCAGCACGUAACCGUUUUCCGAACAAACGCUAUGACGCCCAAUAGUGUGCUUUUUGGAUCCAGACCAGCAGUAGGGAGAUGAAGAACGUGAACUCCAUAUCCAUUUGCAUUUAAUUGAUCACAGAUCGUCCAUCAACAAGACAAUGGAGACACCUCCUCCAACACUGAUCCCCAAAUCUUAUCAAGGAUUAAACGAUUUACAUGAUUUAUCCUCUAUAUGUGUAUUUUAGUCAGAAAUUGAUGACAAUUAGCAUCUUUUGUGACGCUGGCAGAUGCCAACAUGUUGGUUGCUCGCAUGUCACACUGUGUACUAUGAGGUCCUCUGUAGAUAGAAAGCAACAACUUC
This 1076-nucleotide small RNA is filed under the name Histoplasma capsulatum var. duboisii H88. Its description in RNAcentral is "Histoplasma capsulatum H88 hypothetical RNA". The record is from RNAcentral. Lineage: Eukaryota; Fungi; Ascomycota; Eurotiomycetes; Onygenales; Ajellomycetaceae.